UUAGCAAAUUUUAACAACAUUUUUAGUUGUUUCAACGUUCGCUUCCGAUAGAAAUGCGCUGCGCAUACGCAACGUAUGCCGCCGCAAAAUGGAUGUGAACGCAUACGCACACACACAUAAGCAUGCAAGCUGCCUCGCACACGCAUACGACUGACACACACACACAUUGCAGCAUGACAACAACCGUUGGCCGAAUUUUGCGGCUUUUGUAGCUUCUGUUUUGGAUUGGGCAACCAUCAGCCACGCCAAACACACGGCUCUGAGUUGGAGUCUCCUCUGUGUAGGAGAAUAUCCGAGCUGGAUAGGUUUAUGGAAUGAAAAGCCAAAGCAGAAGUUUUUGAACCUUAUCCGGACGGUAUAUGGAUGAGAGCAUUCGCUGGAAGACCGGCCGCGGCGGCCUACAAAUCAAAUUAUCACCAGAAACUCCACUUUUCAAUCAGUUUUCUUUCGAAAUUUCUGAUAAUAGCGAUAUUGGAAUAUGUUUUCAGGAGUCGGUGAAGUCUGAUAAGUCGGACUGCGUCCCACCUCGAAAAGCGACCGCUUUGGCAUCGUUGUGGCAUUCCUGGGCCCCGGAGUGCACACGGAGGCGCACACAAUCGUCCAGAAUGCAGCGACGACCAUUUGUAUUGUGCGAUGGGAAAACAAUGAGAGCAGCAGCCAAAAGGAAUCCAUAGCAGUCCGGGAAAGCAAAAGCAGCCAUUGUAGUGGCUCCAGUUUCCAGUUUUGGGACAGAAGCUGGAGCUGUAGUUGUGGCUGUGGCUCUGGCUAUAUAGUACUUUUAGCUGGAGUUGAUGUCGAUGUGGUGUUGGCUGCGGAUGCGGAUGUAUUUGCUGGUAUUCGGUGCUAGUGCUGUCGGGCGAAUGGAAGAUGGGGAAGGGCAGCGGCAAGAACAGAAACAGGAACAGGAGCAGGAGCAGGCGAUUGGAAGGUAUAACAAGCUGGUGUAAAAGAACAGGACGGGAAAGGAAAGGAUAGGAAAGGAGAGGACCCGACGGGGUGACCCCCGCAUAGCAGGCGAAGAUGCCGAUGCCAGUGCCAAUGACGACACAGCUGGAUAUGCAGGACAGAGAAUGGUGUUCGAGUAGUGAGGCGUACAUGCCACAUGCCUGUGCCACGUUUUCCACAUUUCUUCACUUUACCGUUAAUGGUUUUAUCUUUUGCUUACUGCCCUGCCCUAUCCAUGGUUCUCUCCCACUACCACUACCACUCCCACUCGCACUCCUAGUCUAUCCCCCUAAGAUCGAUCGAUCCGGGCCGAAGCUAUGGCUGAGACCGGGACUGAGACCGAUGCCGGAACCGAGCAAACGAAU
Molecule: long non-coding RNA, 1310 nt
Organism: Drosophila obscura
Lineage: Eukaryota; Metazoa; Arthropoda; Insecta; Diptera; Drosophilidae
Exons: 3
Source: RefSeq, a predicted model, not a curated record